Molecule: ribosomal RNA, 254 nt
Filed under: uncultured bacterium
Lineage: Bacteria
Description: partial 16S ribosomal RNA
Rfam family: Bacterial small subunit ribosomal RNA
Source: RNAcentral
UACGUAGGGUGCAAGCGUUGUCCGGAAUUAUUGGGCGUAAAGAGCUCGUAGGCGGUCUGUCGCGUCGGCUGUGAAAAACUCGGGGCUCAACUCCGAGCUUGCAGUCGAUACGGGCAGGCUAGAGUUCGGCAGGGGAGACUGGAAUUCCUGGUGUAGCGGUGAAAUGCGCAGAUAUCAGGAGGAACACCGGUGGCGAAGGCGGGUCUCUGGGCCGAUACUGACGCUGAGGAGCGAAAGCGUGGGGAGCGAACAGG